AUUGGAUGGGAUACGAAGACGGCCGGUCAAUUGUAAAAUUAGAUAUUAAGUUUGUGAAUAGGGGGGACACCCUUAUGAACCUCAAGGGGUACCGGUAAGCAGACAAGAAAGGAAAACUAUUAUUUCUCAUUCUCUUAUGCGUGAAGGUGAAAAGUGAUAUGGAUAUGGGUCUUCAUAGGUUGUCUUUGGAAAAAUCGUUAUGGUAAGUAUUAAACAAAUGUUUAUAAGUUUUAAAUGUACUUAAACAAAGCAAUGGCUCCAUUAGUUAUUUUUCUGAUUAUUUUACCAAUCUUCAGUUUUUUGUAUAUUCAAUUAGUGUAAUAUUUUUAUUGGGUUAAUGUAUCUUAUCUUUUUAUUAACUAUUUCAGAUCAAAAGGACAAAGAUUCAGAUCCCUAUCAGUAUGAGGGUUGUGAGUAGUUCACUAUUCAGACUCCCUUUUAAGUGCUAGUGAAGGUUGUCCUAAGAUGCUUAGUUAUUCAUUUUUCGUUUUAUUUCUUUAAUUUUCGUUUGUCUUUUAGAACGGACAUUACCGUAAUCAUAUUGGG
This 546-nucleotide long non-coding RNA is filed under the name Carica papaya (papaya). Its description in RNAcentral is "long non-coding RNA (CPAP_LNC006590)". Lineage: Eukaryota; Viridiplantae; Streptophyta; Magnoliopsida; Brassicales; Caricaceae. The record is from RNAcentral.